CCCAGGCAAGCACACAUGAGCCACAAGACCCCCCAAGUGGUGAGUAACUGCAGAGGCAGGGGAAAUCAGUGUUCCAGGACUGAAUUGUACACUGGGCAUAUCACUCUUGGGGAGAGCCAGCACUGUGGGGGGUGGGGCUC
Molecule: long non-coding RNA, 140 nt
Organism: Dermochelys coriacea (leatherback sea turtle)
Lineage: Eukaryota; Metazoa; Chordata; Testudines; Dermochelyidae
Exons: 3
Source: RefSeq, a predicted model, not a curated record